AGAGUUUGAUCCUGGCUCAGAUUGAACGCUGGCGGCAUGCCUUACACAUGCAAGUCGAACGGCAGCGCGGGGCAACCUGGCGGCGAGUGGCGAACGGGUGAGUAAUAUAUCGGAACGUGCCCUGGAGUGGGGGAUAACGCAGCGAAAGUUGCGCUAAUACCGCAUACGAUCUAAGGAUGAAAGCAGGGGACCGCAAGGCCUUGUGCUCCUGGAGCGGCCGAUAUCUGAUUAGCUAGUUGGUGGGGUAAAGGCCUACCAAGGCAUCGAUCAGUAGCUGGUCUGAGAGGACGACCAGCCACACUGGAACUGAGACACGGUCCAGACUCCUACGGGAGGCAGCAGUGGGGAAUUUUGGACAAUGGGCGAAAGCCUGAUCCAGC
This 380-nucleotide ribosomal RNA is filed under the name uncultured bacterium. RNAcentral's name for it is "bacterial SSU rRNA". It matches the Rfam family "Bacterial small subunit ribosomal RNA", at positions 8 to 392 of the family's 1533-position model. The record is from RNAcentral.